AGUGGCAGACGGGUGAGUAACGCGUGGGAACGUGCCCCUCGGUUCGGAAUAACUCUGGGAAACUAGAGCUAAUGCCGGAUACGUGCGAGAGCAGAAAGAUUUAUCGCCGAAGGAUCGGCCCGCGUCUGAUUAGCUAGUUGGUGGGGUAAUGGCCCACCAAGGCGACGAUCUGUAGCUGGUCUGAGAGGACGACCAGCCACACUGGAACUGAGACACGGUCCAG
This 223-nucleotide ribosomal RNA is filed under the name uncultured bacterium. Its description in RNAcentral is "partial 16S ribosomal RNA". It matches the Rfam family "Bacterial small subunit ribosomal RNA", at positions 94 to 334 of the family's 1533-position model. The record is from RNAcentral.